This 253-nucleotide ribosomal RNA is filed under the name uncultured bacterium. RNAcentral describes it as "partial 16S ribosomal RNA". It matches the Rfam family "Bacterial small subunit ribosomal RNA", at positions 524 to 776 of the family's 1533-position model. The record is from RNAcentral.
CACGUAGGGCGCAAGCGUUGUCCGGAAUUAUUGGGCGUAAAGAGCUCGUAGGCGGUUUGUCGCGUCUGCUGUGAAAACUCGGGGCUUAACCCCGGGCCUGCAGUGGGUACGGGCAGACUAGAGUGCGGUAGGGGAGACUGGAAUUCCUGGUGUAGCGGUGAAAUGCGCAGAUAUCAGGAGGAACACCGGUGGCGAAGGCGGCGACCUGGGUAGAUACUGACGCUGAGGCGCGAAAGCGUGGGGAGCAAACAGG